GAGAGACGAUUUUGUGUACGAAAGGAGUGUACGUAGGAGAUUUAGGAUUAUGUCACCGUAUUGUUGAGCCUGCAGUUAAGAUGUUGUAAACUUGUAUUACUGUUACAUGUACUUUGGAUUUUUAAUAAUACAGUAUUGAACUUUUAAUCGACUUUGUGUUUAUGUUAACUUGCAAGACUUCGUUCAGACUACACCAGGAUCCAUUUAUUUAUUUAUGUGACCAGGAUUCCCUUAAUCACGCUACCAGAGAUUUUUAGGGUUACCCUGUUAAAGAGUAUACUUGGCAUUUGUCGUCCGUGGACGUGUGAAACGUAGACACCAAAC
RNAcentral lists this long non-coding RNA (324 nucleotides) under Mytilus galloprovincialis (Mediterranean mussel). The record is from RNAcentral. Lineage: Eukaryota; Metazoa; Mollusca; Bivalvia; Mytilida; Mytilidae.